GAUGACUUGUCUAGAUCUUAGGCAACAAUUCUCUUAGCACAUCAGCUCCUGGAAACAAAUGCACUUAACCAGAAAAAUAGGGACAUCAACCAGCAAAGAUGCAUCCUCAUUUAAUAGAGCUUGAAAUUACUAUAAUCUGUAAAGUACAGCGAGAAGAAGAAGUUUCACCUGCCUGCACAUCUGUCGUUGACUCUCCAUCUGACUUGGAGGGACUCUGAGGGACCAACCUGAGCCUGAGAAGAGGCAAGAUUCCCCUUCAAGGACACACUGGGAACUUACGGACCUCUUUCUCCAUGGUGCAGAGCGCACAGGUGAACGAACAGACUCAUAAUAGUUCUUGAGCUUGCCAUUGGGAAGUGAAAAUCGACUGCUUGAAUAAAUGUAAGGACUCAGGUAGACAUCACCUUGUGACUCAACAGCAGCCAAUAAGAUGGAAAUAAAGGCCAUGAAGUUAUCGGAUGGCAUCUACAAGGAAUACUUAGAUGAGGAGGUGACUCUGGUAGCAAUUGUUCUUUUGUCUUUCUCACCUUCCUUCUUGUCCUGUCUGGGAUGCUGAAGUGAUGGCUGGUAUACAGAUUCUCUGUUGUGAUGUUGAGAUAAACAUGAGAAUAAAAGUCAGCAAUUACAGAUGGCAGAGAAGAGAGAGAAAGAUAGGAUGUAGGUGGAUAUUGAUGGAACUAAGUUUCUAUUGCACAAGUUCUACCACUAACCUCUGGACUUCAUGAUAUGUGAGGGAGAAAUAAACUCCUAUUUUAGAAGAGAUCUAUGUUACCUGCAACUGAACGGAAUGCUUAAUUGGCACAUCCUAUGUGCUCCAAACCUUCCUUAAUUUCUGUGUGUAAGGCAUACUUAGUCUUUACCCAUUAUUCUGUUCACAUUCAUUCACUCGAUCAGCCUCCCAACUCUACAGUAAAGAGUUUACUAUAGUUUACUCUAUUAGUAAGGGAGAUUCUGGAGCAAGCCCCACAAAUCAUAGAUUGAAUACCCAUUCAUCAAGAGAGAGAUUUAAAGAUACUUCUAUCCAAACACAUUUUAAAUUUCCAGCACCUUUGAGGUGGUGGAGGUUCAUGGUGGUUGAUAGGUUUAAAUGACUUGUGAUUCAAGCUCCAUAUUAUAAUGUAACAGUGCAAAAGUUCAUUUUUUAAAAUUUAUUUUACUUUAAGUUCUGGUAUACAUGUGUAGAACAUGCGGGUUUGUUACAUAGGUAUACAUGUGCCAUGGUGGUUUGCUGCACCUAUCAAACCGUCACCUAGGUUUUAAGAACCACAUGCAUUAGGUAUUUGACCUAAUGUUCUCCCUCAUGUUGCCCCCCACUCCCUGACAGGGCCCAGUGUGUGAUGUUCCCCUCCCUGUGUCCAUGUGUUCUCAUUGUUCAACUCCCACUUAUGAGUGAGAACAUGUGGUGUUUGAUUUUCUGUUCCUGUGUUAGUUUGCUGAGAAUGAUGGCUUCCAGCUUCAUCCAUGUCCCUGCAAAGGACACGAACUCAUUCUUUUUUAUGGCUGCAUAAUAUUCCAUGAGUCUGGAUUUGGUUACAGAUAGAGCUGGACGAGCCUUAGCUAUAUCUAAUGGCUUUUGACAUGUUAUAUCAAUUUCUUACUGCUUUUGUAAAUGAAUAUAUUAAGAAGAAAAAAUUACAAAUGACCCUUUCUUUACAAACUUUUAGGGUAAUCAAGUUCAGUUAUUAAAAAAUGGAUGUUUGCAACAUUCAUAGUAAUUAUUUUCAGAAAAUUAAAAAUGAUUAAAAAUUAUAUUUUCAUCCCAUUCAGAUAUUAUAUAUUUAACUGUGAGAUAAUUCUCAGAGAUAAAUGUCAACUUUUAAAAAAUGCUAAAUAAAUUAAAUCAAAAUAUCCACUCUAAAAUAAAUAAAUUAGCUCCGAUUAUUUCUUCUUUUUAAAUUUUUCCUUAUAGUUGUAAAAAUAAAGUGAAC
This 1928-nucleotide long non-coding RNA is filed under the name Pan troglodytes (chimpanzee). RNAcentral describes it as "lincRNA". The record is from RNAcentral. Lineage: Eukaryota; Metazoa; Chordata; Mammalia; Primates; Hominidae.